GUGGGGAAUCUUGCACAAUGGGGGAAACCCUGAUGCAGCGACGCCGCGUGAGCGAUGAAGCCCUUCGGGGUGUAAAGCUCUUUCGGCAGGGACGAUUAUGACGGUACCUGAAGAAGAAGCUGCGGCUAACUACGUGCCAGCAGCCGCGGUAAUACGUAGGCAGCGAGCGUUGUUCGGAGUUACUGGGCGUAAAGCGUGCGUAGGCGGUGUCCUAAGUCUGGUGUGAAAUCUCCCGGCUCAACUGGGAGGGUGCGCUAGAAACUGGGAUGCUGGAGUGUGGGAGAGGUAAGCGGAAUUCCUGGUGUAGCGGUGAAAUGCGUAGAUAUCAGGAGGAACACCUGCGGUGUAGACGGCUUACUGGACCAUGACUGACGCUGAGGCACGAAAGCGUGGGGAGCAAACAGGAUUAGAAACCCGAGUAGUCC
Molecule: ribosomal RNA, 425 nt
Filed under: uncultured bacterium
Lineage: Bacteria
Description: bacterial SSU rRNA
Rfam family: Bacterial small subunit ribosomal RNA
Source: RNAcentral